UACGUAGGUGGCAAGCGUUGUCCGGAUUUACUGGGCGUAAAGGAUGUGUAGGCGGAUAUUUAAGUGAGAUGUGAAAUCCCCGGGCUUAACUUGGGGGCUGCAUUUCAAACUGGAUGUCUAGAGUGCAGGAGAGGAAAGCAGAAUUCCUAGUGUAGCGGUGAAAUGCGUAGAGAUUAGGAAGAAUACCAGUGGCGAAAGCGGCUUCCUGGCCUGUGCCUGACGCUGAUAUGCGAAAGCGUGGGUAGCAAACGGG
This 253-nucleotide ribosomal RNA is filed under the name uncultured microorganism. Its description in RNAcentral is "partial small subunit ribosomal RNA". It matches the Rfam family "Bacterial small subunit ribosomal RNA", at positions 524 to 776 of the family's 1533-position model. The record is from RNAcentral.